GGAGUUUGGACCGUGUCUCAGUUCCAAUGUGGGGGACCUUCCUCUCAGAACCCCUACUGAUCGUAGCCUUGGUAGGCCGUUACCCCACCAACUAUCUAAUCAGACGCAAGCCCAUCUAUCAGCGGAUUGCUCCUUUCCCUCUUGUACCAUGCGAUACUCAAGGCAUAUGCGGUAUUAGCAGUCAUUUCUAACUGUUAUUCCCCUCUGAUAGGCAGGUUGCUUACGUGUUACUCACCAGUCCGCCACUAACCGCUCCAUUAGUAAACUAAAGGUUAAGUUCGUUCGACUUGCAUGUCUUAUGUGCGCCGCCAGCGUUUAUC
RNAcentral lists this ribosomal RNA (320 nucleotides) under uncultured Oscillospiraceae bacterium. RNAcentral describes it as "partial 16S ribosomal RNA". Lineage: Bacteria; Bacillati; Bacillota; Clostridia; Eubacteriales; Oscillospiraceae. The record is from RNAcentral.